CGGAACGUGCCCAGUCGUGGGGGAUAACGUAGCGAAAGCUACGCUAAUACCGCAUACGAACUCUGGUUGAAAGCGGGGGAUCGCAAGACCUCGCGCGAUUGGAGCGGCCGAUGGCAGAUUAGGUAGUUGGUGGGGUAAAGGCUCACCAAGCCGACGAUCUGUAGCUGGUCUGAGAGGACGACCAGCCACACUGGGACUGAGACACGGCCCAGACUCCUACGGGAGGCAGCAGUGGGGAAUUUUGGACAAUGGGCGCAAGCCUGAUCCAGCCAUUCCGCGUGCAGGAUGAAGGCCCUCGGGUUGUAAACUGCUUUUGUACGGAACGAAACGGUCUCGGUUAAUACCUGGGGCUAAUGACGGUACCGUAAGAAUAAGCACCGGCUAACUACGUGCCAGCAGCCGCGGUAAUACGUAGGGUGCAAGCGUUAAUCGGAAUUACUGGGCGUAAAGCGUGCGCAGGCGGUGAUGUAAGACAGGUGUGAAAUCCCCGGGCUUAACCUGGGAACUGCAUUUGUGACUGCAUCGCUGGAGUGCGGCAGAGGGGGAUGGAAUUCCGCGU
RNAcentral lists this ribosomal RNA (559 nucleotides) under uncultured bacterium. RNAcentral describes it as "bacterial SSU rRNA". It matches the Rfam family "Bacterial small subunit ribosomal RNA", at positions 119 to 674 of the family's 1533-position model. The record is from RNAcentral.